GCAGACUACAGGGAUUGCCUCAGUAACGGCGAGUGAAGCGGCAAGAGCUCAAAUUUGGAAUCGCGCGAGCGAGUUGUAAUUUGAAGAAGGUGGCCCGGGGACAGCUUGUGCCGAAGUUCCUUGGAACAGGACGUCGCAGAGGGUGAGAAUCCCGUGCGGUGUGGGCGCGUCUCCGUGAGGGCCAUGUUCGACGAGUCGAGUUGUUUGGGAAUGCAGCUCUAAGUGGGUGGUAAAUUCCAUCUAAAGCUAAAUAUUGGCGAGAGACCGAUAGCGAACAAGUACAGUGAUGGAAAGAUGAAAAGCACUUUGAAAAGAGAGUGAAACAGUACGUGAAAUUGUUGAAAGGGAAGGGCUUGGCCUCAGACUCGGGUGCCCCUCGGGGUGCUCGGGCCAGCAUCGGUUUCUGUGGCGGGAGAAUGGCGCGGGAAUGUGGCUCCUCUGGAGUGUUACAGCCCGCGCUGAUGCCGCCUGCGGAGACCGAGGACUGCGCAUUAUGCACGAUGCUGCU
RNAcentral lists this ribosomal RNA (508 nucleotides) under Danielozyma ontarioensis. RNAcentral's name for it is "LSU rRNA". It matches the Rfam family "Eukaryotic large subunit ribosomal RNA", at positions 56 to 630 of the family's 3401-position model. Lineage: Eukaryota; Fungi; Ascomycota; Pichiomycetes; Serinales; Debaryomycetaceae. The record is from RNAcentral.